RNAcentral lists this ribosomal RNA (495 nucleotides) under uncultured bacterium. RNAcentral describes it as "partial 16S ribosomal RNA". It matches the Rfam family "Bacterial small subunit ribosomal RNA", at positions 29 to 506 of the family's 1533-position model. The record is from RNAcentral.
AUGCACGCUGGCGGCGUGCCUAAUACAUGCAAGUCGAGCGAACAGACGAGGAGCUUGCUCCUCUGACGUUAGCGGCGGACGGGUGAGUAACACGUGGAUAACCUACCUAUAAGACUGGGAUAACUUCGGGAAACCGGAGCUAAUACCGGAUAAUAUAUUGAACCGCAUGGUUCAAUAGUGAAAGACGGUUUUGCUGUCACUUAUAGAUGGAUCCGCGCCGCAUUAGCUAGUUGGUAAGGUAACGGCUUACCAAGGCAAAGAUGCGUAGCCGACCUGAGAGGGGGAUGGGCCGCACGGAAUGUGAGAAGCGAACCGACAUCCUAGGGGAGGCAGGAGUGGGGAAUCUACCGCAAGGGGCAAAAGACUAGGGGAGAAACGCCGGGGGAGUGUAAAAGGUCUUCGGUGCGUAAAACUUUGUAUUUGGGGAAGAACAAAUGUGAAAGGAAUGUGACCGGUAUUAAGGGUACCUAAUCGAAAGGCACCGGCUAACCCCUG